Molecule: ribosomal RNA, 253 nt
Filed under: uncultured bacterium
Lineage: Bacteria
Description: partial 16S ribosomal RNA
Rfam family: Bacterial small subunit ribosomal RNA
Source: RNAcentral
UACGGGGGGGGCAAGCGUUGUUCGGAAUUACUGGGCGUAAAGGGCUCGUAGGUGGCCAACUAAGUCAGACGUGAAAUCCCUCGGCUUAACCGGGGAACUGCGUCUGAUACUGGAUGGCUUGAGUUUGGGAGAGGGACGCGGAAUUCCAGGUGUAGCGGUGAAAUGCGUAGAUAUCUGGAGGAACACCGGUGGCGAAGGCGACAUCCUGGACCGGUAUUGACGCUGAGGCGCGAAAGCCAGGGGAGCAAACGGG